RNAcentral lists this ribosomal RNA (468 nucleotides) under uncultured bacterium. Its description in RNAcentral is "partial 16S ribosomal RNA". It matches the Rfam family "Bacterial small subunit ribosomal RNA", at positions 28 to 507 of the family's 1533-position model. The record is from RNAcentral.
GACGAACGCUGGCGGCGUGCUUAACACAUGCAAGUCGAACGGAAAGGCCCUGCUUUUGUGGGGUGCUCGAGUGGCGAACGGGUGAGUAACACGUGAGUAACCUGCCCUUGACUUUGGGAUAACUUCAGGAAACUGGGGCUAAUACCGGAUAGGAGCUCCUGCUGCAUGGUGGGGGUUGGAAAGUUUCGGCGGUUGGGGAUGGACUCGCGGCUUAUCAGCUUGUUGGUGGGGUAGUGGCUUACCAAGGCUUUGACGGGUAGCCGGCCUGAGAGGGGGACCGGCCACAUUGGGACUGGGAUACGGCCCAGACUCGUACGGGAGGCAGCGGUGGGGAAUAUUGCACAAUGGGCGGGAGCCUGAUGCAACAACGCCGCGUGCGGGAUGACGGCCUUCGGGUUGUAAACCACUUUCGCCUGUGACGAGGCGUGAGUGACGGUAAUGGGUAAAGAAGCACCGGCUAACUACGUG